Molecule: unclassified non-coding RNA, 239 nt
Filed under: fungal sp.
Lineage: Eukaryota; Fungi
Description: partial contains small subunit ribosomal RNA, internal transcribed spacer 1, and 5.8S ribosomal RNA
Rfam family: Eukaryotic small subunit ribosomal RNA (bases 1-47)
Source: RNAcentral
AAAGUCGUAACAAGGUUUCCGUAGGUGAACCUGCGGAAGGAUCAUUAAAGAGAACUUGCCCUCUAGGGUAGAUCUCCCACCCUUUGUUUACCAAUACCUAUGUUGCUUUGGCAGGCCGCCCUUUGGGCGACCGGCUUCGGCUGGUCAGCGCCUGCCAGAGGAUCUCAAACUCUUGAUUUAGUGUUGUCUGAGUACUUGAUAAAUAGUUAAAACUUUCAACAACGGAUCUCUUGGUUCUC